This 465-nucleotide ribosomal RNA is filed under the name Vreelandella stevensii. RNAcentral's name for it is "partial 16S ribosomal RNA". It matches the Rfam family "Bacterial small subunit ribosomal RNA", at positions 338 to 795 of the family's 1533-position model. Lineage: Bacteria; Pseudomonadati; Pseudomonadota; Gammaproteobacteria; Oceanospirillales; Halomonadaceae. The record is from RNAcentral.
CCUACGGGUGGCUGCAGUGGGGAAUAUUGGACAAUGGGCGAAAGCCUGAUCCAGCCAUGCCGCGUGUGUGAAGAAGGCCUUCGGGUUGUAAAGCACUUUCAGUGGGGAAGAAAGCCUUGGGGCUAAUACCCUCGAGGAAGGACAUCACCCACAGAAGAAGCACCGGCUAACUCCGUGCCAGCAGCCGCGGUAAUACGGAGGGUGCGAGCGUUAAUCGGAAUUACUGGGCGUAAAGCGCGCGUAGGCGGUCUGAUAAGCCGGUUGUGAAAGCCCCGGGCUCAACCUGGGAACGGCAUCCGGAACUGUCAGGCUAGAGUGCAGGAGAGGAAGGUAGAAUUCCCGGUGUAGCGGUGAAAUGCGUAGAGAUCGGGAGGAAUACCAGUGGCGAAGGCGGCGUUCUGGACUGACACUGACGCUGAGGUGCGAAAGCGUGGGUAGCAAACAGGAUUAGAUACCCCAGUAGUC